GAUGAACGCUGGCGGCGUGCCUAAUACAUGCAAGUCGAGCGAACAGAUGAGGAGCUUGCUCCUCUGACGUUAGCGGCGGACGGGUGAGUAACACGUGGAUAACCUACCUAUAAGACUGGGAUAACUUCGGGAAACCGUAGCUAAUACCGGAUAAUAUAUUGAACCGCAUGGUUCAAUAGUGAAAGACGGUUUUGCUUUCACUUAUAGAUUGAUCCGCGCCUCAUUAGCUAGUUGGUAAGGUAACGGCUUACCAAGGCAACGAUGCGUAGCCGACCUGAGAGGGUGAACGGCCACACUGGAACUGAGACACGGUCCAGACUCCUACGGGAGGCAGCAGUAGGGAAUCUUCCGAAAUGGGCGAAAGCCUGACGGAGCAACGCCGCGUGAAUGAUGAAGGUCUUCGGAUCGUAAAACUCUGUUAUUAGGGAAGAACAAAUGUGUAAGUAACUAUGCACGUCUUGACGGUACCUAAUCAGAAAGCCACGGCUAACUACGUG
Molecule: ribosomal RNA, 497 nt
Filed under: uncultured bacterium
Lineage: Bacteria
Description: partial 16S ribosomal RNA
Rfam family: Bacterial small subunit ribosomal RNA
Source: RNAcentral